RNAcentral lists this ribosomal RNA (490 nucleotides) under uncultured bacterium. Its description in RNAcentral is "partial 16S ribosomal RNA". It matches the Rfam family "Bacterial small subunit ribosomal RNA", at positions 28 to 505 of the family's 1533-position model. The record is from RNAcentral.
GAUGAACGCUCGCUACAGGCUUAACACAUGCAAGUCGAGGGGAAACGACAUCGAAAGCUUGCUUUUGAUGGGCGUCGACCGGCGCACGGGUGAGUAACGCGUAUCCAACCUGCCCAUCACUUGGGAAUAACCUUGCGAAAGUAAGACUAAUACCCAAUGACAUCCCACGAAGACAUCUGAAUGGGAUUAAAGAUUUAUCGGUGAUGGAUGGGGAUGCGUCUGAUUAGCUUGUUGGCGGGGUAACGGCCCACCAAGGCAACGAUCAGUAGGGGUUCUGAGAGGAAGGUCCCCCACAUUGGAACUGAGACACGGUCCAAACUCCUACGGGAGGCAGCAGUGAGGAAGAUUGGUCAAUGGGCGAGAGCCUGAACCAGCCAAGUAGCGUGCAGGAUGACGGCCCUAUGGGUUGUAAACUGCUUUGAUAAGGGAAUAAAGUGGGUCUCGUGAGACUUUUUGCAUGUACCUUAUGAAUAAGGACCGGCUAAUUCCG